AGUAAAAUAAGCUAAUUCAAGCUAUUGGGCCCAUACCCCGAAAAUGUAGGUUAAAACCCUUCUUUUACUA
RNAcentral lists this transfer RNA (70 nucleotides) under Scomber japonicus (chub mackerel). RNAcentral describes it as "tRNA-Met". It matches the Rfam family "tRNA". Rfam says of the family: Transfer RNA (tRNA) molecules are approximately 80 nucleotides in length. Their secondary structure includes four short double-helical elements and three loops (D, anti-codon, and T loops). The record is from RNAcentral. Lineage: Eukaryota; Metazoa; Chordata; Actinopteri; Scombriformes; Scombridae. RNAcentral also lists the same sequence under 2 other names.